CGGGCGAUGUGUACAUAUUAAUGGUAGUUUUCAAAUAAACAUUAUGAUUAAAUUUUACUAACAAAUUCUAUUUUUAAAUAUAUUUCAAUAUUUAUGGAAUUUAAUAUAAAUGUAAUUCAUUUCAUCUUAAUUAAAUUGCACCUUGACCUGAUAUUUUAAAAAGUUUUAUUUGGUAAUUAAUUUUUAAUAAUUACUUUAUACGGUGGUAUACAAAUAUAAAUUAAGUAAGGUUUAUCGUGUAUUUUCGAUUUAGAAACAAAUUCCUUUGUAAAAGUUAAUACCGUCAAAUUUAUUAUAUUUUAUUUUUUUGAAAUAUUAUAUAAUAAUAGAAUAAUAGGGUAUCUA
This 345-nucleotide ribosomal RNA is filed under the name Epiperipatus machadoi. RNAcentral's name for it is "partial 12S ribosomal RNA". The record is from RNAcentral. Lineage: Eukaryota; Metazoa; Onychophora; Udeonychophora; Euonychophora; Peripatidae.